Molecule: ribosomal RNA, 253 nt
Filed under: uncultured bacterium
Lineage: Bacteria
Description: partial 16S ribosomal RNA
Rfam family: Bacterial small subunit ribosomal RNA
Source: RNAcentral
UACAGAGGGUGCAAGCGUUGUUCGGAAUUACUGGGCGUAAAGCGCGCGCAGGCGGAUCCUGUAAGUCGGAAGUGAAAUCCCCGGGCUCAACCUGGGACUUGCAGUUGAAACUGGUGAGCUAGAGUAGGGUAGAGGGGUGUGGAAUUCCAGGUGUAGCGGUGAAAUGCGUAGAUAUCAGGAAGAACACCGUGGCUAAGGCGGCUCUCUAGUACGGUACUGACGCUGAGACGCGAAAGCGUGGGGAGCGAACAGG